RNAcentral lists this ribosomal RNA (545 nucleotides) under Rhexocercosporidium sp. Dzf14. Its description in RNAcentral is "eukaryotic LSU rRNA". The stretch from base 185 to 338 matches the Rfam family "5.8S ribosomal RNA". Lineage: Eukaryota; Fungi; Ascomycota; Leotiomycetes; Helotiales. The record is from RNAcentral.
UAGGUGAACCUGCGGAAGGAUCAUUACAGAGUUCAUGCCCUUACGGGUAGAUCUCCCACCCUUGAAUAUAUUACCUUUGUUGCUUUGGCAGGCCGCGUUUACGCCAGAGGCUUCGGCUUUUGAGUGCCUGCCAGAGGACCACAACUCUGUUUUUAGUGACGUCUGAGUACUAUGUAAUAGUUAAAACUUUCAACAACGGAUCUCUUGGUUCUGGCAUCGAUGAAGAACGCAGCGAAAUGCGAUAAGUAAUGUGAAUUGCAGAAUUCAGUGAAUCAUCGAAUCUUUGAACGCACAUUGCGCCCUUUGGUAUUCCGAAGGGCAUGCCUGUUCGAGCGUCAUUAUAACCACUCAAGCCUGGCUUGGUAUUGGAGUUCGCUAUCGGCGGCCCCUAAAAUCAGUGGCGGUGCCUGUAGGCUCUACGCGUAGUAAUACUUCUCGCUAUAGGGUCCUGCGGGUGACUUGCCAACAACCCCUAAUUUCUUAAGGUUGACCUCGGAUCAGGUAGGGAUACCCGCUGAACUUAAGCAUAUCAAUAAGCGGAGGAA